GCACUCGAAAUCUGAAGGCACCAUUAAAUUCUACGUACUUUUUUUACAUAAUCGUUCCCUAUUAUGGUUCGGAAGGGUGUUUUCAUCUUUUCGCAAUUUAACGUGCGCUUUUUUUAGUCUACUCCGUUUUCUUUAUUUUAACCGCAAAUAAUUCAGUAGCGGACUUAUUUGAAAUCGCACUCGAAAUCUAAUGGCACCAUUAAAUUGUAUGUACUUUUCUGCGUAAUCGUCCGUUAUUGUAGUUCGGAGUACAAGAAUUUAGUUAUUGAAAUUUGCUGUUUUUUAUUAGACAUUAUGCAGUUUUUUAAUUAAAAUAAUUAUAUAUUGUGCCCUUUUUUUUGAUGCAGUUCAAAGCUUCACUUUUACUUACUAUCUGGAAGUGCAGAAAUGCAUUAAUACUUAUCUUUGUUGUGAAAUGAAGUUAAUUGUUGAUAUAAAUUAAUGCGAAUUUCAUAAUUGUUAGUUGUAGGUGACUCUUUCUAUGUUGUAGUUUUAUUACCGUUUUAAAAUUGUUAACAGCGAGUUUUAGUUCGAAAACUCUCCAUAGCACGGUCGUCGAUUGCGCCACCAGUCUUUUAAUUCUGCCUUUGCUGAUCGUGUUUUCACAUACGUAAGAAACUGGAAAAUUCCGUAGUUGUUUCCUAUUUUUGAGCAAUAAUGUGUUUUCGUUAAAUCGUUUCCGAAAAAUUGCAAUUUGUGCACGUUCAGGCAGCAAAAUAUGUGGCGAAAUCAAAAGCGAAAUAUGUAGUGAUAUCAAUAUUUGCGUUUUCUAAGAAAGUGUUACCUACCCAUUGAUAAAACCAAUGCAGUAUUUUGUGUAAUGUGGAGCAUUUCUAAGAAGUACCAGAGAAUUAUAACUACUUUCCGGUGAGUUUUUGUGAUUUGGUCUUUUUUCUCGAAUUUCUGGUGAUAAGUGUAAUUUUGGAGUUUUUGUUUUAAUAAGGGUCAUGUUUCAGGUUAAUCAUAAACUAUUUCAAUAAUUUCGAAGUAGUUCGGCUAUGAUUUUAAGCAUAUUAAUUCAGUUUAUAAGAAAUUCGCAGUUGUAAUUGUUUAACUAAAAAUUGCUUCUACAAAUGUUUUCAAAAUUACUAUUAUAGUGUAUUCUGUACAGAAAAAUGUUUAUAUAUUUAAAUUUUUGGGUUUAAAAAGUUAAUACAACCGUAACCGCUCACCGCUAUUUUUCGCAAUUUAACGGUACUUAAGGCCGGCUCGUUAGCUAGUCUAGCGGUAAUACGGUCGCAGAUCGUAGGUUGACUGCCUAGACGCUGAGUGAGGGUACCUAUAGCAAAGCGUUAUUAGGUGGAAUAGGCCAAACGGGCGACUGUAAGUCCGGCGGUGUAUUACCCCCGUAUU
Molecule: long non-coding RNA, 1353 nt
Organism: Agrilus planipennis (emerald ash borer)
Lineage: Eukaryota; Metazoa; Arthropoda; Insecta; Coleoptera; Buprestidae
Exons: 2
Source: RefSeq, a predicted model, not a curated record